UGGGUACAGAGCAAGACUCUGUCUUGGGGGAAAAAAAAAAGUAAGAGAUGGUGAUUGGUUGGAUAUGGGAGAUAAAGGAAAGAUUUAAGUUUAACUUCUGACUUCUUAUGGCUGAAUACUACCCACUGAAUGAAGAUCUGUUUAGGGAAAAGAUAAAGGGUUCUGACUUGGACAUAUCUAGUUCAAGGUUCCUAGAUCAUAUCUUAGUGAAUAUACCCUGCAUAAAACUCAUGGGUAAUGUCUAGAUUGGAGAAAAAAUAGGAGAAAAAUCAUCAGAUCACCCAAAGAAAGUGUGCAGAAUAAGUAAAGUUGUGGACCAAGGAUUAAAACCUUGGGGAAUUCUAACAUCAAGAAUGAAAGCACACACGGAAAAAGAAUCUAAGCUUCAUGAAGGUGGAUUUUUGUUCAUUUUAUUUACUGUUAUGGCUCCAGCUGUUCUUACUAUAUGAUGACUUCUGGAGUGAUCAGAAAAUUUUCCAGUCCAUAAACUUGCCUAUUGGAGGGGAAGGAAAAGAAGGGCCCUGCAUUCUAAGAUUUCAUAUUGGUAGGGAUGAUACUGGCUUUUUAUUUGCCAGUUCUACAUAAACAGCUAUCAGAUUAUUAUAAAUUUAAGAGUCAAUCCUGGAGUGACGUGAGUAGCAGAAUGCCAAGUCUAUGAGUCACGUGAUAACUACUGGACAUGCACAUGAGAAUAUGACGAGGAUGGUGCCUUAGAAUGGGGAUUCUCAAUCUGAGGUAACAAUGGGAACAAUUACCAUAUAACUAUUCAAGUGUUUAACUAGCCAGUAUUUUAAAAAAUACCUACUACAUCCUCAGCAUAGUCACUGAAGAAAACUAGGGAUCCAAGAAAAUCAUACCAUUUAAAAAUAAUUGGUAAGUAUGCUAUUUAGCAUGAAAAAUUAGUUUGGACACAUUAAAUGUUCUAGCAAUUUAGAGGAGAGGUUUAGCGGGCAGAAUUCGAGGAGGAGCUGGAGUAAGGGGAGUAUUGCGGGGUGUAUGGUCACUAAGA
RNAcentral lists this long non-coding RNA (1009 nucleotides) under Homo sapiens (human). RNAcentral's name for it is "HSALNT0307700". The record is from RNAcentral. Lineage: Eukaryota; Metazoa; Chordata; Mammalia; Primates; Hominidae.